This 1155-nucleotide small RNA is filed under the name Pyricularia oryzae. RNAcentral's name for it is "Magnaporthe oryzae sRNA M_BR32_EuGene_00074491". The record is from RNAcentral. Lineage: Eukaryota; Fungi; Ascomycota; Sordariomycetes; Magnaporthales; Pyriculariaceae.
UAUUCCAACAAUGGUUAUUUACCAAUACCGUCUAAAGGCCCCGAAAAUAUUUGGUAUUAUUUUUGGGUCCGAUAUGGAAUUUUAAUUAAAUUUGUUUGGCCAGUAAAUUAACCUAAAUUGCGAGAAGUUUUUUUUCGUUAUUGCAAAAUACCUGGGUUUAUUUAGGAAUUUUAUUGGCGAAUAUUUGCAAAACUAAUUGUCGUCCAACCUUAUUAAAUAAUAUUACCCCGCCCGCUAUAUUUCCUCGAAAACUGCGUAUAUAAUUAUGCGAUAAACCAUUAUAUUAUAUUAGCCUAAAAAAACAAAUGCGGUUAAAUUAGCCCAAAACCAAUAAAUAUUCCAAAACGCAUUUUUAAAAAUUUAAUUUGCAAUCGACAAUUUAUAAUGGAUGUUUUUCGCUAUUAUAUAAAUUGAAAAAUAUUGUUUAUUAAAUUUGCCGAAAAAUCUGGAAAAUGGGUGUUAAAACAAUUGGAUUAACAGCUAUUAAUCGCUUUGCACAUCCCUAACGAUAAUUACCAAAUAUUGGUAAAUAAUUGCGUUUUAUAUUUCGAAAUAACAGGUCGUUACCUGUCCCUAUUACCGUUUUUCCUGCCAAACAAAAAUUUGUUAGAAAAACGAACGUAAACGACAAAAAAAGGAAAAAAGGGAAAUAGGUUAUUAACGUACCAUACGCGAAAAAAAAUUUCAUUUUAAUUAUAACUAAUUACGAGCGGAAAGAAUAAAGCAAAUGGCCAAUAAUAAUCCUCCUGUUUAAAAAUAACGGUUAUGGGCUAAUUGGUGUAAUUUAACGUUAAUACGCAAUAUACCAAUUCCAUUAAAAUAAUAUAUUAUUAAAUAUUAUUCGCACCCCGUUUUAACCGCCAUUUUUAUUAAAUGGAUUACGGUCCCUGCAAAAAAUUCCGCAUAUAUAAAAAUAAUACCAUAUCGGGAAUAAUGGGGAAACCAGCAUUUGUAAUUGGGCCACGUUAAUACCAAAUACAAAUACCCCGCCGUUUGGUAUAUAUUCGGUAUAAAUUUAUUAAUCGUUGGACGUCCGGUAAUUUAAAAUUUUAAUGGUUAAAAAUACGGGAUAUUUGCCGGUUAUUGGGUUAAUAUUUAAUCCUAAAUGCGCUUUCCAAAACAUUUUUUGUAUAAAUAAUUGCAAUUGGAUAAAUA